GACGAACGCUGGCGGCGUGCUUAACACAUGCAAGUCGAACGGUGAAGCGCCUUCCUUUUUGGUGGGUGUGGAUGAGUGGCGAACGGGUGAGUAACACGUGAGUAACCUGCCCCCUUCUUCUGGAUAACCGCAUGAAAGUGUGGCUAAUACGGGAUAUUCUGGGUCUGUCGCAUGAUGGGUCUGGGAAAGAUAUUGUUUCGGUGGGGGAUGGGCUCGCGGCCUAUCAGCUUGUUGGUGGGGUGAUGGCCUACCAAGGCGGUGACGGGUAGCCGGCCUGAGAGGGCGGACGGUCACACUGGGACUGAGACACGGCCCAGACUCCUACGGGAGGCAGCAGUGGGGAAUAUUGCACAAUGGGCGCAAGCCUGAUGCAGCGACGCCGCGUGAGGGAUGGAGGCCUUCGGGUUGUGAACAUCUUUCGCCAGUGAAGCAGGCCUGCCUCGUUUGUGGGUGGGUUGACGGUAGCUGGAUAAGAAGCGCCGGCUAACUACGUG
This 494-nucleotide ribosomal RNA is filed under the name uncultured bacterium. RNAcentral describes it as "partial 16S ribosomal RNA". It matches the Rfam family "Bacterial small subunit ribosomal RNA", at positions 28 to 507 of the family's 1533-position model. The record is from RNAcentral.